RNAcentral lists this ribosomal RNA (783 nucleotides) under Triticum aestivum (bread wheat). RNAcentral describes it as "partial small subunit ribosomal RNA". The record is from RNAcentral. Lineage: Eukaryota; Viridiplantae; Streptophyta; Magnoliopsida; Poales; Poaceae.
AUGUGGUGCUUAUGGAAAGCAAGGAAUGAUAUACUCUUCCAGAGAAAAGAUGUGUCUCCUUUCCAGAUCUUUUUUGUAGCACAUGCUAUCACAAAUAGCUUAUCUUUAGAAGUAAGGACAUUAAAACAGAGAAAGAUAACCACUGAAAAUCACAUGAUAAAUUCUCAGGAGAAAGAAAAUCAGAGACAGGGAAUUACGAUUGAUAGUAUCAUGCUUCCAGAUUCAGUCAAAAUUUACACAAAUGCAGCCUGGCAUGAACUAAGAAAUUUUGACACUAUUGAAAGUGUAAGAACAGGAAUUGGUAUUUUUUUGCAGGUACAUCAGAGAGACCAAAAGAUGGAAGCUACAAUCUCAGCGACUAUUGAACACUCACAAUCAACAAUUCAAGCAGAGGCACAUGGAAUCAAUCUAGCGGCAAUCAUUAUCAACAUGCUAAAUAUUCAACAAGCAGCCAUUUUAACGGACAAUCUUACUCUUGCAAAAGCAGCAGCAACAAGAUCUCCUAAUUCUCAACCUGGACACUGGCAAAUAAGGAGCAUUCUGACAAACUUCUGUAAUAACAAUGCAACAAAACAGGUUCAGGUGUUUCAUAUUCCUAGAAGUCAUAAUUGUGAGGCUCAUGUAGCAGCCAAGUUAACUCAGUCUCAGAAUAUAUUUCCUGAACAGAGUUUUAGGAUAAGCUGUUGUAAUGUUCAGCAUAAAAAAUGGCAUUGCCCCCUAAUUCAAAUCAUUGCAGACAUUGCUAAUCAGGGAUAUGUCAUUACCCAUGUAAACUGCAGAUAA